AUACGAAGGGUGCAAGCGUUAAUCGGAAUUACUGGGCGUAAAGCGCGCGUAGGUGGUUUUGUAAGUUGGAGGUGAAAGCCCCGGGCUCAACCUGGGAAUUGCCUCCAAAACUGCAUGACUAGAGUACGGUAGAGGGUAGUGGAAUUUCCUGUGUAGCGGUGAAAUGCGUAGAUAUAGGAAGGAACACCAGUGGCGAAGGCGACUACCGGAACGGAAAUGAACACGGGGGUGCGAAAGCGUGGGAGGCAAACAGAAUAAGUUACCUUGGUAGUCAACGCCGUAAACGAUGUCAACUGGCCGUUGGGAGCUUUGGGAUCUUAGUGGCGCAGCUAACGCAUUAAGUUGACCGCCUGGGGAGUACGGACGCAAGGUUAAAACUCAAAUGAAUUGACGGGG
RNAcentral lists this ribosomal RNA (396 nucleotides) under uncultured bacterium. Its description in RNAcentral is "partial 16S ribosomal RNA". It matches the Rfam family "Bacterial small subunit ribosomal RNA", at positions 523 to 918 of the family's 1533-position model. The record is from RNAcentral.